Molecule: long non-coding RNA, 285 nt
Filed under: Mytilus galloprovincialis (Mediterranean mussel)
Lineage: Eukaryota; Metazoa; Mollusca; Bivalvia; Mytilida; Mytilidae
Source: RNAcentral
GUUGUCUUGUGAUAACUCAACUGUAUUAAAAGAGUUGUGCAUAUUCCUGGUAAAACACUGCAAAUAGCAGAUUUAUAUUCCAUGUUUCGCUAAAUUAGCUAUUGCUUUGAUUUAAAAAAAAAAAAAUUGUUAAUUGACCGGAUUCAGUUUCUCGAUUUAUUUUAUUCAUCUGCUUCUGAAACGGGGAGGAUUGUUGUUAUUGUCUAUCGCCAUCAACAGUAUAUCCUUGAGCACCGUCUCAUGGUCUCUUCUGCAGAUGAAAAUAUUUCCGUCUUUAUAGAUAAU